This 757-nucleotide long non-coding RNA is filed under the name Mytilus galloprovincialis (Mediterranean mussel). Lineage: Eukaryota; Metazoa; Mollusca; Bivalvia; Mytilida; Mytilidae. The record is from RNAcentral.
AAAUUAAAACAAUCUUUACCAUUCAGUGAUAACAAGCACCUUUUGUUACAUUUUAAUAUUUUAUGAUGUAUUUAAAUGAGUAGUUAUUGUUGCAAACUCCAUUAGAAAUUUGAAUUGAGAUCCGUUUUGGAAAAAGAGAAUGGGGAUGUGAAAAAAAAAUGGGGAGGGGGGGGGGGGUUAAAUUUUUCUCAUUUCAGAUUUCAUAAAUAAAAAGAAAAUUUCUUCAAACAUUUUUUUGAGAGGAUUCAUAUUCAACAGCAUAGUGAAUUGCUCAAAGGCAAAAAAAAAAUUUUAAGUUCAUUAGACCACAUUCAUUCUGUGUCAGAAACCUAUGCUGUGUCAACUAUUUAAUCACAAUCCAAAUUUAGAGCUGUAUCCAGCUUGAAUGUUGUGUCCAUACUUGCCCUAACCGUUCAGGGUUCAACCUCUGCGGUCGUAUAAAGCUGCGCUCUGUGGAGCAUCUGGUUAAGGAUCUGUUAUGAUUUAUUUUUAGCUCACCUGGCCCAAAGGGCCAAGUAAGCUUUUCUCAUCACUUUGCGUCCGUCGUCCGUCGUCGUCGUCUGUUAACUUUUACAAAAAUCUUCUCCUCUGAAACUACUGGGUCAAAUUAAACCAAACUUGGCCACAAUCAUCAUUGGGGUAUCUUGUUUUAAAAAUGUGUCCGGUGACCCGGCCAACCAACCAAGAUGGCCACCAUGGCUAAAAAUAGAACAUAGGGGUAAAAUAUAUAUUUUGGCUUAUAACUCUGAAACCUAAG